GAUGACAAAGGUGUGAUAAAGGAGAAUAAAGAGGAAAGGAAAGGAAAAAUACUUAAUUUAUUAUAAUCUGAACUAUUAGAGGAAAUUUGUGGAUGAAAAAAUAGAAGAAAAACAUAGUCUACUUCUAAUAGUACCUGAUAAACCUUCACUCCUAUCCCUGAAAUAAUUUAUUUCUUUUUCUUUUUCUUCAUACCCCCUCUACCUCAUCAGAUUUGUCAAGAAUUCCAAAACUGAAACAGUAUGAUAUAAUAGUGGUCAUUUCUGUGAGGAGUCAAAAACAGUGAUGAGUGGUCUGGCUCCUCUUUUGUGUGCACAGUUACAAGUCAUAUACCAGAAGAACUGCUGCACCCGGCAGAAGAAAACAAUGACAUGGGACUGCAACCAGUUCCUGCUCCUGACUAAAUGUAUGGGCAUGGGCAAGCUGUUUGAUCUCUGUGAACCUCCUAAUCUUCAUUUCUAAAAUGGGUGGGGAUAAUGACACCAAACCGAUAGGAUUACUUUGAGAAUUACAAACAAUAAUAUGUGUUUUCUUAGCUGACAGUGGCAUAAGAUGAGCAUUCAAUACAUAAUAGCUCUUAUGAUUUAUGUAUUGUUAUGUCUAUUACUAAUAUUAGUAAUAAUUUUAUUUUCUUAAAAAUGAUUUGUAUAGAAUAAUGUUAGCUUAUAGGGAAAUAUGUAACAGUUGAAAUAUUACUUUUAUUUUAAACAAUGUAUUCAAUCCUCUCAACACGUUGUUGGAACAGUAGGAGAAUAACUAUCAAUUAACCAAGAAGGAAACUUUUGUUAGUGAAUGUGUCGAUCUUGAUAUGGAGUCUUAAGAUUCCAAACCAUAUUGUCUAGGCCAUUAACUGCUGAGAAUGUACUUAUCUUGGGGACUUGUUUUAUUUGAAAUAAAACCAUCACCACAUUUGUAUGCUGCAGACUUACCGUAGUAUUUUUCCUUUUAGGAUCCCUUCCCAGUUGAUCAAUUACUUAGAGGUCAUAGGAAUAUUACUCACCCUUAGAAAAGGAAGCCCAUACCUUUUAGAUGUAUUCAACAUCUUCACUAUUCUUUAGAAAAUUCUUAAGGUUCUUUUAAUAAAAAAAAAAACAAUUUGAAUGCAAAAUUGAUGAAAGUGAAUUUUGGUUUUCUAGAGAUAUGAAUUAUUUA
This 1150-nucleotide long non-coding RNA is filed under the name Macaca mulatta (Rhesus monkey). RNAcentral describes it as "lncRNA (ENSMMUG00000050935.1)". The record is from RNAcentral. Lineage: Eukaryota; Metazoa; Chordata; Mammalia; Primates; Cercopithecidae.